RNAcentral lists this small nuclear RNA (106 nucleotides) under Castor canadensis (American beaver). Lineage: Eukaryota; Metazoa; Chordata; Mammalia; Rodentia; Castoridae. The record is from RNAcentral.
GUGAUCAUUUUAGCACAACUUAAACAAAAAUUAGAAUGAUACUGAGAAAAUUAGCUUGGCUCCAGCAUAGGGUAACAUGCAAAUUUGUGAGGGACUCCCUAUUUUU